RNAcentral lists this ribosomal RNA (1631 nucleotides) under Salmonella enterica. Its description in RNAcentral is "partial 23S ribosomal RNA". It matches the Rfam family "Bacterial large subunit ribosomal RNA", at positions 711 to 2238 of the family's 2925-position model. The record is from RNAcentral. Lineage: Bacteria; Pseudomonadati; Pseudomonadota; Gammaproteobacteria; Enterobacterales; Enterobacteriaceae. RNAcentral also lists the same sequence under 2 other names.
AGACCCGAAACCCGGUGAUCUAGCCAUGGGCAGGUUGAAGGUUGGGUAACACUAACUGGAGGACCGAACCGACUAAUGUUGAAAAAUUAGCGGAUGACCUGUGGCUGGGGGUGAAAGGCCAAUCAAACCGGGAGAUAGCUGGUUCUCCCCGAAAGCUAUUUAGGUAGCGCCUCGUGAAUUCAUCUCCGGGGGUAGAGCACUGUUUCGGCUAGGGGGCCAUCCCGGCUUACCAACCCGAUGCAAACUGCGAAUACCGGAGAAUGUUAUCACGGGAGACACACGGCGGGUGCUAACGUCCGUCGUGAAGAGGGAAACAACCCAGACCGCCAGCUAAGGUCCCAAAGUCAUGGUUAAGUGGGAAACGAUGUGGGAAGGCCCAGACAGCCAGGAUGUUGGCUUAGAAGCAGCCAUCAUUUAAAGAAAGCGUAAUAGCUCACUGGUCGAGUCGGCCUGCGCGGAAGAUGUAACGGGGCUAAACCAUGCACCGAAGCUGCGGCAGCGAACGUAUCACCCAAGACAACUUUACGGAGUUGACGAUUGACGGAGCGAAGCGACGUCAAAGCGUUCAUUAAAGUCGAGUUGGCUUAGGGAUACGUUCGUUGGGUAGGGGAGCGUUCUGUAAGCCUGUGAAGGUGUGUCGUGAGGCAUGCUGGAGGUAUCAGAAGUGCGAAUGCUGACAUAAGUAACGAUAAAGCGGGUGAAAAGCCCGCUCGCCGGAAGACCAAGGGUUCCUGUCCAACGUUAAUCGGGGCAGGGUGAGUCGACCCCUAAGGCGAGGCCGAAAGGCGUAGUCGAUGGGAAACGGGUUAAUAUUCCCGUACUUGGUGUUACUGCGAAGGGGGGACGGAGAAGGCUAUGUUGGCCGGGCGACGGUUGUCCCGGUUUAAGCGUGUAGGUGUGUGUUCCAGGUAAAUCCGGUUCACUUUAACACUGAGGCGUGAUGACGAGGCACUACGGUGCUGAAGCAACAAAUGCCCUGCUUCCAGGAAAAGCCUCUAAGCAUCAGGUAACAUCAAAUCGUACCCCAAACCGACACAGGUGGUCAGGUAGAGAAUACCAAGGCGCUUGAGAGAACUCGGGUGAAGGAACUAGGCAAAAUGGUGCCGUAACUUCGGGAGAAGGCACGCUGACACGUAGGUGAAGUGAUUUACUCACGGAGCUGAAGUCAGUCGAAGAUACCAGCUGGCUGCAACUGUUUAUUAAAAACACAGCACUGUGCAAACACGAAAGUGGACGUAUACGGUGUGACGCCUGCCCGGUGCCGGAAGGUUAAUUGAUGGGGUCAGCGCAAGCGAAGCUCCUGAUCGAAGCCCCGGUAAACGGCGGCCGUAACUAUAACGGUCCUAAGGUAGCGAAAUUCCUUGUCGGGUAAGUUCCGACCUGCACGAAUGGCGUAAUGAUGGCCAGGCUGUCUCCACCCGAGACUCAGUGAAAUUGAACUCGCUGUGAAGAUGCAGUGUACCCGCGGCAAGACGGAAAGACCCCGUGAACCUUUACUAUAGCUUGACACUGAACAUUGAGCCUUGAUGUGUAGGAUAGGUGGGAGGCUUUGAAGUGUGGACGCCAGUCUGCAUGGAGCCGACCUUGAAAUACCACCCUUUAAUGUUUGAUGUUCUAACGUGGACCCGUAA